AUACAUGCAAGUCGAACGAGGCGCUUUUUGUAGCAAUACGAGGAGCGUCCUAGUGGCGAACGGGUGAGUAACGCGUGGGUGACCUGCCCCAAAGUGUGGGAUAACAGUCCGAAAGGAUUGCUAAUACCGCAUGUGGUCGCUGAGUUUAGAAGUUAGCGACUAAAGCAGCAAUGCGCUUUGGGAGGGACCUGCGUCCCAUCAGCUAGUUGGUAAGGUAACGGCUUACCAAGGCGACGACGGGUAGGGGACCUGAGAGGGUGGCCCCCCACUGGGACUGAGACACUGCCCAGACUCCUACGGGAGGCUGCAGUCGAGAAUCUUUCGCAAUGCCCGAAAGGGUGACGAAGCGACGCCGCGUGCGGGAAGAAGGCCUUCGGGUUGUAAACCGCUGUCGGGAGUUAGGAAGUGCAAGGAUGUUAAUAGCGUUCUUGCUUGACUAAGGCUCCGGAGGAAGCCACGGCUAACUCUGUGCCAGCAGCCGCGGUAAUACGUAGGGGGCAAGCGUUGUCCGGAAUUAUUGGGCGUAAAGAGCACGUAGGCGGCCUUGCAAGUCAGUUGUGAAAGCCUUCCGCUUAACGGAAGAACGGCAUCUGAUACUACAGGGCUUGAGUACGGGAGGGGAGAGUGGAACUUCUGGUGGAGCGGUGAAAUGCGUAGAUAUCAGAAGGAACGCCGGCGGCGAAAGCGGCUCUCUGGCCCGUAACUGACGCUGAGUGUGCGAAAGCUAGGGGAGCAAACGGGAUUAGAUACCCCGGUAGUCCUAGCCGUAAACGAUGGGCACUAGGUAGAGGGGUUUUGAUUAUCUCUCUGCCGGAGCUAACGCAUUAAGUGCCCCGCCUGGGAGUACGGCCGCAAGGCUAAAACUCAAAAGAAUUGACGGGGGCUCGCACAAGCGGUGGAGCAUGUGGCUUAAUUCGAUGCAACGCGAAGAACCUUACCGGGGUUUGACAUGGUAGAAGUAGGAGCCCGAAAGGGUAACGAACGGUAUCCAGUCCGUGACUAUCACAGGUGUUGCAUGGCUGUCGUCAGCUCGUGUCGUGAGACGUUGGGUUAAGUCCCCUAACGAGCGAAACCCUUGUCUUUAGUUGCUAACGGGUAAUGCUGAGCACUUUAGAGAGACUGCCGUCGUUAAGACGGAGGAAGGUGGGGACGACGUCAAGUCAUCAUGGCCCUUAUGUCCCGGGCUGCACACGUGCUACAAUGGUCGGUACAAAGGGAUGCUAAGUCGCGAGAUGGUGCGAAACCUAUAAAGCCGAUCUCAGUUCAGAUUGGAGGCUGAAACUCGCCUCCAUGAAGUUGGAAUCGCUAGUAAUCGCGGAUCAGCUACGCCGCGGUGAAUAUGUUCCCGAGCCUUGUACACACCGCCCGUCAAGCCACCCAAGCAAGAUGCACCCAAAAUCGCCUGCCUAACCCGUAAGGGAGGGAAGUGCCUAAGGUGUGUUUUGUGAGGAGGACUA
Molecule: ribosomal RNA, 1457 nt
Filed under: uncultured anaerobic ammonium-oxidizing bacterium
Lineage: Bacteria
Description: partial 16S ribosomal RNA
Rfam family: Bacterial small subunit ribosomal RNA
Source: RNAcentral